UCCGUGAGCUCUGGCAGUGUCUUAGGAUGUCUGGUUAUAUUUUGGAGAUUAUGUAAAAAAUGUGUCUGUUUCCUUUUGUGUGAUCCCAUAGAAAUCAGUCUGUUUUUGAUUAUGUUAAGUCUGUUACAUAAUACACCUGAUUUUUUUUUCUUGCAGAUUUUCAUAGAAGUCAUGGAAGAGAGAGAUCAUCCUGCACUUUCACUAACCCUCCAGGUUUUGAAUUCUGAGCCAAUUUUGCAGAUCAUAAUCCACUGGCAUUUCACGUCACAUGCUCAAAUCUGAAUUUGGACAUGACUCAAUCAAAUCAAGCAAAUCAAGCAGAUCCAGCCAGUUGUGAUGUGACUUCUAACCGAACUUCUGAUUCUGUUUUUCUCAUGCUUAUUCGAUGAGGCAUUCAUGGGAACGCUCAAUAUGUGGUCCAAAGAACCAUUGUUUCAAGUAAAGACCUUCAAGGAUGGCCAACUCAACAAUUCAGUACAUCCUGAAAUAGUAGGAAUGCACUCAAGGCCAGUAAUGCCUGGAAGACCAACAAAGACAACUAAAGUUUAUGAAAGAAAAACCCUGUCACAACAUCUAGCCAAGUCAAGAUUAAACAACACUGUCGAGGAGGGAGCUGAUUCAUUGUGAAAAUCAAGAGAUGCUUCAUAGAUAUAAAUACAAAGGGAUUCUUUGGACAGCUGAAACCAAGAUUAACUUGUACUCUAAUGAUGUAAUUGUAAUGAAAGAGAAAGAAAGAAAGAAAGAAAGAAAUGUCACACCAUCUGUUGAACAUGGUGGAGGCAAUGUUAUGGUAUGGGCAUGUCUGCUUGCCAGUGGAACUGGUUCACUGGUGUUUAUUGAUGAUGUGCCUGCUGAUUGAAACAGGAUAAACUUAUAACUUAUAAACUUAAACUUAAACUUAAACUUAAACUUAAACUUAAACUUAAACUUAAACUUAUAAACUUAAAGUAUAACUCUAUACACUACAGUCAAAUGCUGCAAAACUGAUAGGACAGCACUUCACAGUACAGAACCUCCAAACAAGCUCAAGGAUAAAACAUACCCUCAAAGCAAUCCAAGAGCUUCUUAAGGCAAAUAAAUGGAAUGAUCUUUAAUGUCAGAGUCAAUCACCUGACCUCAAGCCAACUGAGCAUGCUUUACAACUGAAGGCAGCUUCAGUAAUGACCUUCUCAAUGGAGGAAACUCAGUAUAUGGUGAUAUCCAUGGGUUCCAGUCAUUGACCCCUGCAUCCAAGUAUUAAAAAGAAUUAUUAUUUAUAAUGAUUUUAGUUUAGUCCAAUUACUUUUGAGCCUGAAAAAUGGAAAAAUUCGAGUGACUGGUUAAGGCAAUAUUUUUACUGAAUGAAUGAAUUUUGAUCACUCUGAAGCUUAUCUUAUAUUUAAAACCUUGACACAUUCCUGGAAUGAUGGAGUGAACUCACACUGAGAGUCUGAACAGCUGAUGUCCUUCCAGAAUAUGUACAUAAACGCUCUAUGUGUGUUACAUAUGCAUCACACUAACUCCUGUUUCUGGUUGUUUCUUAGUUUGUUGGUAUCUAGACUUGGAUCAGUUUUUUAGGGGUUGCAUAAACUAGUUGAAGAACACAUUUAACAAUUCUGAGGUUAUGACGUCUAGACUGGCGGGGGAUAAAUACAGUAAAGAACACAGUAAAGAAAGCAGGCAAAUGUACAUUUUUACGAAGGAUACAGUGUGUGACAGUCUACUACAUAACACUAUGCUGGGAACGUUUUUUUUCUUCUUUUGCUUAAUAAAUUGAAAUAUCAUUUUACAUGAAGCCAACAAGCCAAGGCAGAGGAAAAUCCCACCCAACAGUUCGAACUCAUAUCAGUGAAGCAUGGCAGCUCAAAGAGGCCAGUCCAGAACUCUUUUUGUACAUUCCUGAUGGUGGUGUUAAUUUUAAUACUAUAGACAUAACUUCCUCCAUCCAUCAUUUAGCUAUGAGGAGGUUCUGCUUGCAAACAGAGUUUUUACUUGAAUUUCCUUUCCGAAUUAUUGGUAGACUAAAAAUAAGUUGCUGUGUAACCCCUACUAUUCUUUCUUACUUGGCACUUAUAUAUAAACUCACCACUUAGCGCAUAAUGUUUAGUCUCUGCAUCCACUCUGACACUGAUAUGCUGCUUAGAGAGUGUAAUUAGUGGAAUUUUACAAAUGUAGCCUAUUGUAUAAAGCAUGUACACAGCACACAGGCCAGAUGUUUACAUACACUUAAAUUAAAGAUAUUUAAUCUCAGUUUUCCACACUUCAGACAUUUCUUUUGGCACGUGAACUACAGCCUUGACUGUGUUCACAUCAGAGGUCAUUUUAAAACAGUCCAUUAGAGACCGAGGCCUUGGCUUGAAUUUUCAAUGGUAUCAUGGGAAAGAAGGCUCUGUCUCUGAAAGGUAAGUCCUUUUCAAGCCAUAGGUGUGCUCCUAUUAACUCCUAAUUAUAUCAAUCAGAAACUUCUAAAAACCAUUACAUCAAUUUCUGAAAUUAUUCCAGACUGUUUAAAAGAGACAGUUAUAACUUGGUGUUUGUAAAUACAGUUUAUAAAAGCUGAAAUAAAUGUUUCUUUAGCAUAGUUUAAAAAAAGUUGGAGUGGAAAAACUCAUGCAUCCUGCAUGCAGCUCUGACUUUAACCCCACUGAACACCUUUGGGAUAAUGUGGAAUGCUGACUGCAACUCAGACCGCCUUGUCCAACAUCAGCUUCUGACCUCACUAAUGCUCUUGUAACUGAAUGGACAAAUCUUAUUACAUGCAGCAACUUUCCAAAAUCUAGUGGAAAGCCUUCCCAGAAGAGUGGAGCUUGUUAUGACAGUGAAGGGAAACUAAAUCUGGAAUGAGAUGUUUAAAAAGCAAAUAUGGGUGUGAUGGUCAUGUGUCCACAAACUUUUGGGCAUAUAAUGUAUGAAAAACAUAUUUCAAGCUUGGUCUAUAUUUAAGGUCUAGUUAUAAUUAGGAUUAACUAUCAAAUUUGCAUUUAAAUUAUGCUUCACUGGUCUGUUGACACUUUUAGAAUAUUUCAUCAUUUUAGUUUAUUUUUUGUGGACAUUAAAGCUGGUGAUCCUGCUGAACCUUCUCAAGGGGGAGCUUCCUGUCAAACACACUAUACAUCUCAUUGUUCACAUUUUGUCACGCCACCUGAGUACGUCAAGAGUCAGCAAGAGUUCAGUAUUUCCUUUUAAAUUCUGUCAUUUAUAAUCAAGAAGAUUUCAGUUCACUGCCAAAUGUUUCCAUUUCACUGAAUGAAAGUCCAACUAUAUUAACAGAUUAUAUUUAUUAUUUAGCAUAUUUCACUAACAACAUUUUAUUUCUUAUAGAAAGGCUGUUAGAAACAGUACUCCAUAAUGCUAGACUGCAGAAUGGGCUUGGGAAUGGGUUUUUAAUUAAUUACAUCCUUUACUACUCGUUGGUUAAAGUCGAUGGGCUGCUAGCAUCCGAAAACUUCUAAAGCAUCAAUAAUCAUCAACUUUUAAAACCAAACUUCUGAUAAUAGAUAGAUAAUAUUUAGCCGAUCAAAAUGAACUAAACUCAUUUCUGAAACAGUUCUGAAACUCUGAAACUACAAUUGUUACAUCUUCUUUUCCUUCUUUCGGCUUUACCCUUCAGGGGUCGCCACAGUGAAUCAUCUCUCUCCACCUAUCCCUAUCUUCUGCAUCCUCAACACUUACACCCACUAGCUUCAUAUCCUUAUUUAUUACAUCCAUAUACCUCCUCUUUGGCCUUCCUCUUUUCCUCCUGCCUGGCAGCUCCAUGUCCAACAUUCUCUUACCAAUAUACUCACUCUCCCUCCUCUGGACAUGUCCAAACCAUCUUAACCUGGCCUCUCUAACUUUGUCCCCCAAACGUCCAACAUGAGCUGUCCCUCUGAUGUACUCGUUCCUAAUCCUGUCCAACCUUGUCACUCCCAAAGAGAACCUCAACAUCUUCAGCUCUGCUACCUCUGACUCCUGGCUCUGUCUCAGUGACACUGUCUCUAAACCAUACAGCAUGGCCGGUCUCACCACUGUUCAGUAGACCUUGAAAUUUUUCUAUCACACAGAACUCCCGACACCUUUCUCCACCCAUUCCAACCUGCCUGCACUCGCUUCUUUACCUCUUUCCCACACUCUCCAUUACUCUGGGCUGUUGACCCCAAGUCUUAAGUACGCUUAAACUCCUGUACCUUCUACACCUCUUCAUCCUGUAAUCUUACUGUUCCACUUCCCUCCCUGUCAUUCACACACAUGUACUCAGUCUUACUACGACUGAGUUUCAUUCCUCUUCUCUCCAGCGCAAACCUCCACCUCUCCAGGUUUUCCUCCACCUGAUCCCUGCUCUCACUACAGAUCAAAAUGUCAUCUGCAAACAUCAUUGUCCAAGGAGACUCCUGUCUGACCUCCUCUGACAACUUGUCCAUCACCAUAGCAAACAGGAAGGGGCUCAGAGCCGAUACCUGAUGCAGUCCCACCUCCACUUUGAACUCCUCUGUCUGACCUACAGCACACCUCACCACUGUCCUGCACCACUCUGACAUACUUCUCUGAUACUCCUGACUUCCUCUUACAGUACCACGGCUCUUCUCUUGGCACCCUGUCAUACACUUUCUCCAAGUCUACAAACACACAGUUAACUCUCUCUGACCAUCCCUAUACUUCUCCAUCAACAUUCUCAGAGCAAAAAUUGCAUCUGUUGUGCUCUUUCUGGGCAUGAAGCCAUACUGCUGCUCACAAAUUUCCACUACCUUCCUUAACCUAGCUUUCACUACUCUUUCCCAUAGCUUCAUUGUAUGGCUCAUCAACCGGGAUGUCGUCAGGACCAACUGCCUUUCCACUUUUCAUCCUCUUCAAAGCCUUCCUGACUUCAUCCUUUCUAAUCUUAUCUACUUUCUGUUCCAUAGAGUUCACCCCUUCUACUCUUUCUUCCCUCUCAUUUUCCUCAUUCAUCAGCUCUUCAAAGUACUCCUUCCAUCUCCUCUGUACACUCUCCUCACUUGUGAGCACCUUUCCAUCUCUAUCCUUAAUAACUCUAACUUGCCGCACAUCCUUCCCAUCUCGAUCCCUCUGCCUAGCUAACCUGUACAAGUCCUUCUCUAGUGUCUAACCUAGUGUACAACUCAUCAAAUGCCUUCUGCUUGGCCUUAGACACCUCUCUCUUCACACUGCACUGUAAGUCCUUGUAUUCCUGUCUAUUCUCUUCAGUCCUGUCCAUGUCCCACUUCUUCUUGGCUAACCUCUUCCUCUGAAUACUAUCCUGAACUUCUGCAUUCCACCAACAAGUACCUUCUUUCCUCAUUCCAGAUGACAUACCCAGCACCUUUCUUCCUGUCUCCCUGAUCACUUCUGCUGUAGUUUCCCAGUCAUCUGGCAGCACUACCUGACCACCCAGAGCCUGCCUCAACUUCUGUCUAAAUUCCUCACAACAUUCCUCCUUUUUAAGCUUCCACCACUUGGUUUUCUUUUCCAUCUCUAUCUUUGACCUCUGCUUACAGACCAUCAAAUUCAUCCUACACACCACCAUCCUAUGCUGUCUGGCUACACUCUCUCCCACUACCACUUUACAGUCACUAAUCUCUUUCAGAUUGCCUCUUCUACAUAGGAUGUAGUCUACCUGUGUGCUCCUACCUUCACUCUUGUAAGUCACUCUAUGCUCCUCCCUCUUCUGAAAAUAAGUGUUAACCACAGCCAUGUCCAUCCUCUUAGCAAAGUCCACUACCAUCUGUCCUUCAAGGUUCCUUUCCUUAACUCCAAACUUGCCCAUCACCUCCUCAUCACCUGUGUUCCCCUCACCAACAUGUCCAUUAAAAUCUGCCCCUAUCACCACUCUCUCACCUGUUGGAAUACUCUCUAUCACCUCAUCUAAUUCACUCCAGAAUCUCUCUUUCUCCUCUAACUCACAACCUACCUGUGGGGCAUAACCACUAACAACAUUCAACAUCACCCCUCCAACCUCUAACUUCAGACUCAUCACCCUGUCCGACACUCUCAUCACCUCCAGAACAUUCCUCACAAACUCCUCCUUCAGGACCACACCUACCCCAUUUCUCUUACUAUCCACACCAUAAUAAAACAGCUUAAACCUGCUCCUAUGCUAUGAGCCUUGGUACCCUUCCACCUGGUCUCCUGUACACACAUUAUAUCCACCUUCCUUCUCUCCAUCAUAUCAGCCAGCUCUCUACCUUUUCCUGUCAUAGUACCAACAUUCAGAGUUCCUAUUCUCAGUCCUACACUCUUACCUUUCCUCUUCUCUCUCUGUCUACGCACUCUCCUUCCUCCUCUACUUCUUCGACCAACAGUAGCCCAAUUUCCACCAGCGCCCUGUAGGUCAACGGUGCCAAUGGCGGUCGUUGUUAACCCGGGCCUUGACCGAUCCGGUAUGAAAUUUAGAGUACUGAUGAUUCGCAUGGUUAAAUUUGGCAAUGUUUUACGCUGGAUGCCCUUCCUGAUGCAACCCUCUCUAUUUAUCUGGGCUUGGGACCAGCACAGAAGUCACUGGACUGUGACACCAUGGCUAGAUUACAAUUGUUACAUAAAUAUGCUUAUUAUUUUCCUGGCAGUUGUUCCAGCAUAUUUAUUAUGGACCUAUUCAUGCUUAUUUAUU
Long non-coding RNA from Hemibagrus wyckioides, 6559 nucleotides. RefSeq lists it as uncharacterized. Lineage: Eukaryota; Metazoa; Chordata; Actinopteri; Siluriformes; Bagridae. The record is from RefSeq and is a predicted model, not a curated record. The transcript has 3 exons.